Molecule: long non-coding RNA, 926 nt
Filed under: Mytilus galloprovincialis (Mediterranean mussel)
Lineage: Eukaryota; Metazoa; Mollusca; Bivalvia; Mytilida; Mytilidae
Source: RNAcentral
UGGAAACACCAUUUUUUAAUCUUUCAAGAACCAUUACUCUGAACAGUAAAAGUCAAAAUCGUCAUUUUUGAACUUGACCUCACUUUUGUCAUCAAUAACAACAUAUUAAAAUUUGGGAAGCUUUGGUUGAACAGUUCAUGCGCAAAUGCACAGACACGACUUGAAACGCCAUUUUUCAAUCUUUCAAGAACCAUAACUCCUGAACGGUAAAAGUCAAAAUCGUCAUUAUUGAACCUGACCUUCAUUUUGUUGUCAGUAACAACAUAUUGAAAUUUUAAAAGCUUUGGUUGAACGGUUCAUGAGUAAAUGCACGGACAACAUUUUGUUGCCGCCAGACUGCCGUACAUCCCUGAAUCAAUAACCGACAUUUUUGUCACAAAAAUCCGGUUAAAAACCAAAGUGUUUUAUGAUGUAAAUUGUACGUCAUAGCUAGCAGCUCCAACAGAAAUCUUCAUUUAGAUCACCAUUGUCAUCCAAAAUACAACUGACUGCAAAUUAAAUUGUGAAAUCAAGCAUCUGCACCUAAUGUUUUGUUUUAAUUACAAGUAUUCAUUAUGGGCGGGUAUCAGGAUUUACACUUUAAUGAAUGUGUGGAACAUUGCUAAGUUUUUAUGUUUUUUUAAGCUUUUUGUUUUUUAGGUUUCUAUGGACUUGAAACAGUAGAUUUUCUUAUGUUUGUAAGCUUAAAAUUUUGUUUGAUUUACUGAUUUAGUUUUUUUAAUAUACCUGAAAACAAACAUGACUCAUAUACUUUUCAUGAAUUUUGGUUGUGACAUUGUUAUCAUUGAAUGUAUUAGUGCAGCAUAUGAUGAAUACAGGUAAAGCACAAAUCCAAUAAAAUUUAUAUUUUUUCAUCAAUAUCACUUAAGUCAUGUUAGUUGUAUCAAAAUAUUAUUUUGGUAUAAUUUUACUGUUGUGAAUUUUAC